GUACUCUCACACUCUCCAAUUCGGAUUCGGAUUGGGGAGCGGUGGACUUGGGUGUUGCUGCUUUGCUGUGGCUCACCUCAAAUGUGUUAGUGCAACUCCUGGUUGGACAUAGUACGGCGUGAUAAGUAUCUUCGCCGGCACCUCAGAAGAGGGUGGCUAAUCGGGAGCUCUGUGCUGCAAACCGUCUUUGGACAAUAUCUGACA
RNAcentral lists this unclassified non-coding RNA (204 nucleotides) under uncultured Sebacina. RNAcentral's name for it is "sequence contains ITS2". The record is from RNAcentral. Lineage: Eukaryota; Fungi; Basidiomycota; Agaricomycetes; Sebacinales; Sebacinaceae.